UAAAAUAUAAUGCAGCAGAGGAAGAAAAGGCUGAGAGAGUCAGGAUCCCUCCACUGCCAUGCCGCCCUAGUAGCUAAGUAGCCAUGGCUCUAUAUCUAUCUAUCAUUUUUCUGACCCCAAUAGCUAACCAAGACAACUCAUCAUGCAUGUUCCCUUUCAAUACUUUCUUAGCUGUGCUGUGCUCUCUCUUCAUUUCACUGUGCAUCUUUUAAUUCACUGUUACACAAGAUGGGUUAUGUCUCUCAACACCUUCCCCCAACCUUUUCUCCUUUACAUUUUUCAGUUUUCACUUUUUCCAUAUAUACUCUACUGCACCACCAUGUGGUUUUUGACAUUACUGAGUUUAGUUUAGUUUUUUCCUGUCUAGCCCUUAGUUUAUGUCCCUUUGUGUGUCUAUAUUUCUUCCAGCUAUUCAUCUCUUUGUUUUCUGCAUUACAAGUUUGGAAUGAAACCAAUCUUGUCCUUUCACCCUCUCUUGGGUUUUCCUUCCCCUCCUCUUAAUUCUCCUCCAUAGCUUAUUUUAACUGCAUGGCUCAAGGUGUUUGUACUGCAGUACUACAGUGCAUUUUCAAAUGCUCAAAGUGUUUGAUCUACAUUCCUCAGUUUGUCUUUUGUGGUUUCCAUGUGUUUCUUUUUUGUGUACAACUAUAUGUAAGUGGUGAACUCGGAGAUUACAAUGUUUUUGUGGUGAAAAAAGGGUCACAAGGGAAAAAGUGAAGCUGCCAGCAUGAUCUAGCUUUGGUUAGUGGGAGCCAGAGAGUGCUAACCCUCACUAGGUCAUGCUGUGCUAGCCUCACUCCUUCCUAUUUGGAGACCGAUAUAUUCCUAUCAAAAUCUCAGACCUAAACAAUUACACAAACCUAGCUAUCUACCUAAAAGUAAAAGGUGAGUAUGUCUGUAAAGCACUUAUUUCACCGUGUUUGGAAGUACAAGAUGAAAUGUGUGUAGCUGUUUGAAGUACCCCAAAACAUGGAGCUGGAGAUCUGCACAAGCUUUAGAUAUUAGCAAGGGUGGCGGUUGUAUUGCGGUUUCAUUGUGCUUUUUGAUAUCGCUGGAAAUCACAGAAAAAAUUGAUUCCAAUUGCGGUCGCCAACAGUUAAAACCUUGUAUAUUAGCUAGGGACUUGACACUAGAGGAUGUUCUUUUCGUAACGGUUUUGUUGUGCUUAUAAACAAUGUCAACUGCGUUUAGCAGCUUCAUGACAUCCUUGAACAUCUGAAAGUAUAACUGCAUAAAUAGUAUUGUUUUGUAAUAAUAGAGAAUAGAACUUGCAUGUUGAUUUGCAAUUUAGAUUUACAUUCAUGGCUUUUA
Glycine soja is the source of this 1311-nucleotide long non-coding RNA. RefSeq lists it as uncharacterized. The transcript has 2 exons. The record is from RefSeq and is a predicted model, not a curated record. NCBI's taxonomy places the organism in Eukaryota, Viridiplantae, Streptophyta, Magnoliopsida, Fabales, Fabaceae.